UCAUGGUGUUUGACAAGGAUCGAUACCUAUAACCUCUAUUAUUUCUAGUUUAUAUUAAUGAUCUGCAUCAAAACUACCUUUUCAAAUAUUUCUUGCUGAUGAUACAAGUGUGUUCUUCCUCACAGCAAUGUCAACUAUCUCACUGAAUAAACUGCUGAACACAUCCAAGCACUGUUAAAACUGAGUACAAGGAAAGUGAACAAAUACGUAUUGACUUUAAACACUGAACAAACCCUCUGUCUACCUCCUGCUCCAUCUCUCUCUUGCUCUGUGUGUAUAUGUCGGAAAACCUUCUAUAUCCCCUCUGCCCCUCUCCAAGCGUCUGCACAGCUCUCUCCAUGGGAAUGAUGUCAUGGUUGGGAAUUCCAACAGGGGGCCCUGUCUGUGCUCAUAAAAAACCCUCGUCUCCCCAGCUCACUGCACAUGGCCUGACUGAAUUACAGCUCCCAGUCCAUCACCCUCUCCUGGCCUUGGCAAGAAUAGCGGGUCUGGGACAUCACUACUUUAUGGCAUAUUUUGUCUGAAAGGCAACAUUAAUCAGUGUAAUCAUGAAGUCAGACAACAGUGCAAAGCAGCAGAGCCGGUACACCUCCGCACUGUACGAUCCAUGGAUCUGGCAGCCUCUGCUCUCACCUGUAGAAACACUCUGGAGACACGGUCUGCAUUCCUCACUGCCACACACCGACUGAGCCAGCAUAUGUCAACAACACCCCUUAAACAACACUCCUGCAGCCACACACCGACUGAGCCAGCAUAUGUCAACAACACCCCUUAAAACCCACUACAGCAGCCAGGUAGCUACUGCUUCAACCAGACAUCAAACUCACACUGCCAGAAAAAAAAAACAGAUACCUUAAAUGAGCCCACCUACCUGAACCUCCAUAUCUGCCUCCUCUGUGUCGAGUCACGAGCAGAGAAAUGGAGAGAGAGAGGAGAGAGAGAUGGAGCUGAAAGCCCCUGCACUAUAAGGCAGGCUCUUUGAUCUACAUAGUGCUGAGGUCGGUAAACAGGCUGUUAGGCUAGCAGAGGAGAGGGAGAUCGAGGUGGCAUAUAGUGCUGUAGUGUAGGCUGCCUGGGGUUGAAAGACAGAGCACCAGACAGGAACCUGAACGUCAAUAAAACAGGAAGGCUCUCCCUGCACUUUCCCCCCUCCUUCCUUCACUUGCUCUCUCCCUCUUCUCUGUCCCCUUUAUACCACUCUCUCUCUCUCAUACACUCAGCCAUUUUUCUCUCCCCAUUCAUAUCUCUCUAUUUCAGUGCAUUUAUUCAGCUGUUGUGUUGAUCCCAGGGCUCAGUGGGGACGUGUCCAGAGUCAGUGUGUUGCAGCGCUGCAAUGUCACCACUGUCUCUCUCGCUCAUGACCAGGGGAAUCUAAGCUCUGUCAGCGACCACUGAAACAACUCAAUUAUAAUAUAUACUGAAUGAAUAUGUGCUGGCUCCCUAUACUAAACAUUGUAUUGCAAUCUUUAUUGGCUUGUAAUAAACAUUGUAUUUCGA
Non-coding RNA from Oncorhynchus mykiss (rainbow trout), 1497 nucleotides. The record is from RefSeq and is a predicted model, not a curated record. NCBI's taxonomy places the organism in Eukaryota, Metazoa, Chordata, Actinopteri, Salmoniformes, Salmonidae.